UUUUCUUUGGACUCUGAAACAAACGUUUUGUCUCCUCACACAAACAGCUCUUUGUUUGACUAUGAAGGUGGAGUUUUGAAUGGCUGCUGUGCAUCACUGCUCCUAAAGCAGUUUAAGAUGAACCACUGAGACAAGUCUGUGCAGUCUGUCUGACAGUGAGAUGAGCCAUGAUGAUGAUGUUUCUGACUCCACUGCUGACCACACUGCUGUUCGGACUUCAAGGAUCAGGUGCCAGUACAUCUGUGACUCAGUCUCCUGCAUCAAAGGCUGUCAGUGUUGGAGAGACGGUCUCUCUGAGCUGUACAGCCAGUAGAGGAGUUGAUGAUGAUCUCAGCUGGUACCUGCAGAAACCUGGACAGCCUCCCAAACUGCUGUUUUACAAAAUAAGCAGCCGUGAGACUGGUACUCCGAGUCGGUUCAGCAGCAGCGGAUCUGAACCUGAAUUCACUCUGACCAUCAGUGGAGUUCAGGCUGAAGAUGUAGCAGUUUAUUACUGUCUGAGUGUACACAGCGGCCCAGUGUUCACACAGUGA
Chelmon rostratus (copperband butterflyfish) is the source of this 533-nucleotide non-coding RNA. The record is from the annotation of a RefSeq genome assembly. Lineage: Eukaryota; Metazoa; Chordata; Actinopteri; Chaetodontiformes; Chaetodontidae.